AUACGGAGGGGGCUAGCGUUGUUCGGAAUUACUGGGCGUAAAGCGUACGUAGGCGGACUGAUCAGUUGGGGGUGAAAUCCCAGGGCUUAACCCUGGAACUGCCUUCAAUACUGUCAGUCUUGAGAUUGGAAGAGGUGAGUGGAAUUCCUAGUGUAGAGGUGAAAUUCAUAGAUAUUAGGAGGAACACCAGUAGCGAAGGCGGCUCACUGGUCCAAUACUGACGCUGAGGUACGAAAGCGUGGGGAGCAAACAGGAUUAGAUACCCUAGUAGUCC
This 274-nucleotide ribosomal RNA is filed under the name uncultured bacterium. RNAcentral describes it as "partial 16S ribosomal RNA". It matches the Rfam family "Bacterial small subunit ribosomal RNA", at positions 523 to 796 of the family's 1533-position model. The record is from RNAcentral.